GCCGUAAUAUUUUAUUUUAAAAAGCUCUUAAAACUAUAAAAAUGCUUUUAUUGUGAGCUCGUGAGACUGCGCGCGCUGAUGCAGCGGUGAUUUCUCUCUGGUCUUUCUCACUGUUCUGGCCAGACAUCAAUUAUUAAUGAGAUCUGAGCCGGUAAUAAUAACAUAUGUUGGUUCAGCUUGUCAGUGUGAAUUAAAUGUGUAUUUAUUUGUCCGAAAAACCAUCACCGUGUUCUGGAGCGCAGAGCAAUCGAUGUGAUGUUCAGCCCUUAGACAAAGAAAAUCUCACAAGCACUCAUAAACACUCAUUUUCAUCUCUAUAAUAUGUUCUUCUAAUUGUUUUGUGUUAAUUCGCCGCUGUGUUUUAAUGUAAAAGGCUGUAGUUUCUGUAUGUAGGCUUUUUUCCCUUCAAGUGUUCAGAAGUCUCGCGCUGUCAGACAGGCUGCAGCAAAUAUUUAAUUUUAACACUCACAAACAUCUGAAUUUAGCUCUUGGUGUGUUCUAAUUGGCGGAUUGUGUGCAAUCGCCGUAAUAUUUUAUUUUUAAAAGGUCUUAAACAAGAAUAAACUCGUUUGUUGUGAGCUCGUUGAGACUGCACGCGCUGAUCAGAGCGGUGAUUUAUCUCUCGUCUAUCUCUCUGUUCUCUGGCCAUACAUCGAUUAUUAAUAAGCCCUGACCCUGUAAUAAUAAGAUAUGUUGGUUUAGCUUGUCAGUUUUAAUUAAAUGUAUUUAUUUAUUUGUAUUUUUAACCGAUUUAAAAGUGAAACUAAGGGAGACUCCUCCCUCUCACUCCCCGGGAAUUGCUCCUGUAGAGGCGCAAUUUUUCUCAGACAAUGAAAGUCUCAGCACACAUACACUCCUCACACAGAGCCAAAAAUCCAUAUUCAAAUCAAAAUAGCCGACUUCCUGUUGGUCGUAGCUAAUGACUGUAAAUUAGAAAGUUGUCCGUCUUAAUAAGAACAAUAUAUGUACCGAGUUUGGUGUCUGUAGCUAAAACUAACCCCCCCACUUUUGACAAAAGGUGGCGCUAUAGAGUGCCUCCUCCACGCCCUUUCAUAAGCUUUUGCCAGUGUCUAGCUAUCAUUAAUACUGAUAUGUGUUCUGAGUUUCAUGAAAUUCUAAGCAUUUUAUCUGCCUCAAAAUCAGAAUAUAUUAUACAGAAAAAUAUUCCAGUUUGAUAUGUUGCCAUGGCAACACUAUAUUAGAUAUCAAUAUCCCCUCAACAGAUUUACAUGGGCCGUGUUUUGUCAUUAUUCUGAUGAAGUUUGAAGCAAAUUGAGUAAAAAUAAGAUGCUGAAUUCAAAGCAUUUUGAAAAUGACACACUUCCUGCUGCCAGUUGGUGGCGCUAUAUUUUUGACUCCUAAUAGUCACAUGUAUGCGAUCGCCAUCAUACAACGAACAAAUUGAUGAAGUU
Molecule: long non-coding RNA, 1412 nt
Organism: Cyprinus carpio carpio
Lineage: Eukaryota; Metazoa; Chordata; Actinopteri; Cypriniformes; Cyprinidae
Source: Ensembl